This 157-nucleotide non-coding RNA is filed under the name Heterosigma akashiwo. Lineage: Eukaryota; Raphidophyceae; Chattonellales; Chattonellaceae. The record is from RNAcentral.
AAGUGCUGUAAAAUAAUAAUAGACAGAAGAAGCAAGAAAGUUACUUAUUCUUUUUUGUUCUUCUUGUAUCUUCUUCCCAAACUCUGAACUCCUUAUAUUCAUCAAAGCAAGGGAACUACACAACUAGACAAUAGCAAUGGCAAUUAUUUUCUUCCAG